This 69-nucleotide transfer RNA is filed under the name Ictidomys tridecemlineatus (thirteen-lined ground squirrel). RNAcentral describes it as "Spermophilus tridecemlineatus (thirteen-lined ground squirrel) tRNA". It matches the Rfam family "tRNA". From Rfam's summary of the family: Transfer RNA (tRNA) molecules are approximately 80 nucleotides in length. Their secondary structure includes four short double-helical elements and three loops (D, anti-codon, and T loops). The record is from Rfam by way of RNAcentral. Lineage: Eukaryota; Metazoa; Chordata; Mammalia; Rodentia; Sciuridae.
GGGAUUGUGGCUCAGUGGUAGAGCUCUUGCCUAGCAUGUGGGAGGCACUGGGUUUGAUUCUCAGCACCA